RNAcentral lists this unclassified non-coding RNA (337 nucleotides) under soil metagenome. RNAcentral describes it as "partial contains 5.8S ribosomal RNA, internal transcribed spacer 2, and large subunit ribosomal RNA". The stretch from base 1 to 120 matches the Rfam family "5.8S ribosomal RNA", at positions 35 to 154 of the family's 154-position model. The record is from RNAcentral.
GAUGAAGAACGUAGCAAAAUGCGAUAAGUAAUGUGAAUUGCAGAAUUCAGUGAAUCAUCGAAUCUUUGAACGCACAUUGCGCCCGCCAGUAUUCUGGCGGGCAUGCCUGUUCGAGCGUCAUUUCAACCAUCAAGCCCCCGGGCUUGUGUUGGGGACCUGCGGCUGCCGCAGGCCCUGAAAAGCAGUGGCGGGCUCGCUGUCACACCGAGCGUAGUAGAUUUUAUCUCGCUCAGGGCGUGCUGCGGGUUCCGGCCGUUAAACCACCUUCAUAACCCAAGGUUGACCUCGGAUCAGGUAGGAAGACCCGCUGAACUUAAGCAUAUCAAUAAGCGGAGGA